Molecule: ribosomal RNA, 165 nt
Filed under: Kopsiopsis hookeri
Lineage: Eukaryota; Viridiplantae; Streptophyta; Magnoliopsida; Lamiales; Orobanchaceae
Description: 5.8S ribosomal RNA
Rfam family: 5.8S ribosomal RNA
About the family: 5.8S ribosomal RNA (5.8S rRNA) is a component of the large subunit of the eukaryotic ribosome. It is transcribed by RNA polymerase I as part of the 45S precursor that also contains 18S and 28S rRNA.
Source: RNAcentral
AAACGACUCUCGGCAACGGAUAUCUUGGCUCUCGCAUCGAUGAAGAACGUAGCGAAAUGCGAUACUUGGUGUGAAUUGCAGAAUCCCGUGAACCAUCGAGUCUUUGAACGCAAGUUGCGCCCGAAGCCAUUUGGCUAAGGGCACGUCUGCCUGGGCGUCACGCAU